Molecule: ribosomal RNA, 241 nt
Filed under: uncultured Gardnerella sp.
Lineage: Bacteria; Bacillati; Actinomycetota; Actinomycetes; Bifidobacteriales; Bifidobacteriaceae
Description: partial 16S ribosomal RNA
Rfam family: Bacterial small subunit ribosomal RNA
Source: RNAcentral
UGCGUGACCAACCUGCCCCAUGCUCCAGAAUAGCUCUUGGAAACGGGUGGUAAUGCUGGAUGCUCCAACUUGACGCAUGUCUUGUUGGGAAAGUGUUUAGUGGCAUGGGAUGGGGUCGCGUCCUAUCAGCUUGUAGGCGGGGUAAUGGCCCACCUAGGCUUCGACGGGUAGCCGGCCUGAGAGGGCGGACGGCCACAUUGGGACUGAGAUACGGCCCAGACUCCUACGGGAGGCAGCAGCC